CCUACGGGUGGCAGCAGUGGGGAAUUUUCCGCAAUGGGCGCAAGCCUGACGGAGCAACGCCGCGUGGAUGAAGAAGUCUUUCGGGACGUAAAAUCCUUUCAGCAGGGACGAAGCGAGUGACGGUACCUGCAGAAGAAGCAUCGGCUAACUACGUGCCAGCAGCCGCGGUAAUACGUAGGAUGCAAGCGUUGUCCGGAAUUAUUGGGCGUAAAGCGAACGUAGGCGGUUAGAUAAGUUUGGUCUUAAAGACCGGGGCUCAACCCCGGGAAUGGAUCGAAAACUGUUUGACUAGAGGAUGUUAGAGGAAAGUGGAAUUCCAAGUGUAGCGGUGAAAUGCGUAGAUAUUUGGAGGAACACCGGUGGCGAAAGCGACUUUCUGGGGCAUUCCUGACGCUGAGGUUCGAAAGCUCGGGGAGCAAACAGGAUUAGAUACCCUGGUAGUC
This 443-nucleotide ribosomal RNA is filed under the name uncultured bacterium. RNAcentral's name for it is "bacterial SSU rRNA". It matches the Rfam family "Bacterial small subunit ribosomal RNA", at positions 338 to 795 of the family's 1533-position model. The record is from RNAcentral.